This 1707-nucleotide ribosomal RNA is filed under the name Pseudomonas aeruginosa. RNAcentral's name for it is "partial 23S ribosomal RNA". It matches the Rfam family "Bacterial large subunit ribosomal RNA", at positions 1239 to 2925 of the family's 2925-position model. Lineage: Bacteria; Pseudomonadati; Pseudomonadota; Gammaproteobacteria; Pseudomonadales; Pseudomonadaceae. The record is from RNAcentral.
UUCUGUAAGCCUGUGAAGGUGAGUUGAGAAGCUUGCUGGAGGUAUCAGAAGUGCGAAUGCUGACAUGAGUAACGACAAUGGGUGUGAAAAACACCCACGCCGAAAGACCAAGGGUUCCUGCGCAACGUUAAUCGACGCAGGGUUAGUCGGUUCCUAAGGCGAGGCUGAAAAGCGUAGUCGAUGGGAAACAGGUUAAUAUUCCUGUACUUCUGGUUACUGCGAUGGAGGGACGGAGAAGGCUAGGCCAGCUUGGCGUUGGUUGUCCAAGUUUAAGGUGGUAGGCUGAAAUCUUAGGUAAAUCCGGGGUUUCAAGGCCGAGAGCUGAUGACGAGUCGUCUUUUAGAUGACGAAGUGGUUGAUGCCAUGCUUCCAAGAAAAGCUUCUAAGCUUCAGGUAACCAGGAACCGUACCCCAAACCGACACAGGUGGUCGGGUAGAGAAUACCAAGGCGCUUGAGAGAACUCGGGUGAAGGAACUAGGCAAAAUGGCACCGUAACUUCGGGAGAAGGUGCGCCGGCUAGGGUGAAGGAUUUACUCCGUAAGCUCUGGCUGGUCGAAGAUACCAGGCCGCUGCGACUGUUUAUUAAAAACACAGCACUCUGCAAACACGAAAGUGGACGUAUAGGGUGUGACGCCUGCCCGGUGCCGGAAGGUUAAUUGAUGGGGUUAGCGCAAGCGAAGCUCUUGAUCGAAGCCCCGGUAAACGGCGGCCGUAACUAUAACGGUCCUAAGGUAGCGAAAUUCCUUGUCGGGUAAGUUCCGACCUGCACGAAUGGCGUAACGAUGGCGGCGCUGUCUCCACCCGAGACUCAGUGAAAUUGAAAUCGCUGUGAAGAUGCAGUGUAUCCGCGGCUAGACGGAAAGACCCCGUGAACCUUUACUGUAGCUUUGCACUGGACUUUGAGCCUGCUUGUGUAGGAUAGGUGGGAGGCUUUGAAGCGUGGACGCCAGUUCGCGUGGAGCCAUCCUUGAAAUACCACCCUGGCAUGCUUGAGGUUCUAACUCUGGUCCGUGAUCCGGAUCGAGGACAGUGUAUGGUGGGCAGUUUGACUGGGGCGGUCUCCUCCUAAAGAGUAACGGAGGAGUACGAAGGUGCGCUCAGACCGGUCGGAAAUCGGUCGUAGAGUAUAAAGGCAAAAGCGCGCUUGACUGCGAGACAGACACGUCGAGCAGGUACGAAAGUAGGUCUUAGUGAUCCGGUGGUUCUGUAUGGAAGGGCCAUCGCUCAACGGAUAAAAGGUACUCCGGGGAUAACAGGCUGAUACCGCCCAAGAGUUCAUAUCGACGGCGGUGUUUGGCACCUCGAUGUCGGCUCAUCACAUCCUGGGGCUGAAGCCGGUCCCAAGGGUAUGGCUGUUCGCCAUUUAAAGUGGUACGCGAGCUGGGUUUAGAACGUCGUGAGACAGUUCGGUCCCUAUCUGCCGUGGACGUUUGAGAUUUGAGAGGGGCUGCUCCUAGUACGAGAGGACCGGAGUGGACGAACCUCUGGUGUUCCGGUUGUCACGCCAGUGGCAUUGCCGGGUAGCUAUGUUCGGAAAAGAUAACCGCUGAAAGCAUCUAAGCGGGAAACUUGCCUCAAGAUGAGAUCUCACUGGGAACUUGAUUCCCCUGAAGGGCCGUCGAAGACUACGACGUUGAUAGGCUGGGUGUGUAAGCGUUGUGAGGCGUUGAGCUAACCAGUACUAAUUGCCCGUGAGGCUUGACCAU